This 486-nucleotide ribosomal RNA is filed under the name uncultured bacterium. RNAcentral describes it as "bacterial SSU rRNA". It matches the Rfam family "Bacterial small subunit ribosomal RNA", at positions 15 to 518 of the family's 1533-position model. The record is from RNAcentral.
GAUCAUGGCUCAGGAUGAACGCUGGCGGCGUGCCUAACACAUGCAAGUCGAACGGUGAAGGCGCCUUCGGGCGCGAAUGAAGUGGCGAACGGGUGAGUAACACGUGACCAACCUGCCCCGCGCACCGGGACAGCCCCCCGAAAGGGGGAUUAAUACCGGAUGCGCCGCGGCCCCCGCAUGGGGGCCGCGGGAAAGCCCAGGCGGCGCGGGAUGGGGUCGCGGCCCAUCAGGUAGUAGGUCGGGUAGCGGCCGACCUAGCCGACGACGGGUAGCCGGGUUGAGAGACCGACCGGCCACAUUGGGACUGAGAUACGGCCCAGACUCCUACGGGAGGCAGCAGUGGGGAAUAUUGCGCAAUGGGGGCAACCCUGACGCGGCAACGCCGCGUGCGGGACGAAGGCACUCGUGUCGUAAACCGCUUUCAGCAGGGAAGACAUCGACGGUACCUGCAGAAGAAGCCCCGGCUAACUACGUGCCAGCCGCCGC